GCCUUAAAUCUAGCCCACACAACCCGCAUGAUACUCCUCGACAUCUGUAAAAAAUAAAACAUUUUAACAUUUUAGUAUAGGCGAUAGAAAAAUUAUUAGGCGCUUUAGACAGAGUACCGCAAGGGAAACAUGAAAUAGAAAUGAAACAAUUCUUACAGCCACAAACAGCAGAGACACCCCCUCGUACCUUUUGCAUCAUGGUCUAGCUAGUCCCCCCGAGCAAAAUGAAAAUUUUAGUUCGACACCCCGAAACUAGACGAGCUACUUCAAAACAGCCCACAGGGGCCAACCCCUCUCUGUUGCAAAAGAGUGGGAAGAUUUUUAAGUAGAGGUGAUAAGCCUACCGAGCCUAGAGAUAGCUGGUUGCUCAGGAAAAGAGUUUUAGCUCUGCCUUAAGUUUUUUUAUUUUAUCAAACAAGCCUUUAAACUUAAGAGUUAUUCAAAUUAGGCACAGCUUAUUUGAAACAGGAUACAACCUCCACUACCGGGUAAACAAGGGUGAUCAAAACUAAGUGGGCCUAAAAGCAGCCACCUUCCGAAAAGCGUCAAAGCUUAUCUAUUCUAACCCGCAAUUUCUAAAAUACUCCCUAACCCUUCAUUCCUACUGACCCCCUUUAUACUAUUAUAAAAAUAAUUAUGCUAGAACUAGUAACAAGAAGUCACCCUUCUCCAUAAUGUAAGUAUAAGCCAAAACGGACCCUCCAUUGGUGAUUAACGUAAAUGCAAGCCCCAUAAUAACACAUACCCAGAAAACCUUAUGGCCCCCCACGUUACCCUAACACUAGAACAUUACAGGAAAGAUUAAAAGAGAAAGAAGGAACUCGGCAAAUUUUAACCCCGCCUGUUUACCAAAAACAUCGCCUCUUG
RNAcentral lists this ribosomal RNA (867 nucleotides) under Odorrana margaretae (green odorous frog). Its description in RNAcentral is "partial 16S ribosomal RNA". The stretch from base 171 to 644 matches the Rfam family "Bacterial large subunit ribosomal RNA", at positions 573 to 1301 of the family's 2925-position model. Lineage: Eukaryota; Metazoa; Chordata; Amphibia; Anura; Ranidae. The record is from RNAcentral.